RNAcentral lists this ribosomal RNA (497 nucleotides) under uncultured bacterium. RNAcentral's name for it is "partial 16S ribosomal RNA". It matches the Rfam family "Bacterial small subunit ribosomal RNA", at positions 28 to 507 of the family's 1533-position model. The record is from RNAcentral.
GAUGAACGCUGGCGGCGUGCCUAAUACAUGCAAGUCGAGCGAACGGACGAGAAGCUUGCUUCUCUGAUGUUAGCGGCGGACGGGUGAGUAACACGUGGAUAACCUACCUAUAAGACUGGGAUAACUUCGGGAAACCGGAGCUAAUACCGGAUAAUAUUUUGAGCCGCAUGGUUCAAAAGUGAAAGACGGUCUUGCUGUCACUUAUAGAUGGAUCCGCGCUGCAUUAGCUAGUUGGUAAGGUAACGGCUUACCAAGGCAACGAUGCAUAGCCGACCUGAGAGGGUGAUCGGCCACACUGGAGCUGAGACACGGUCCAGACUCCUACGGGAGGCAGCAGUAGGGAAUCUUCCGCAAUGGGCGAAAGCCUGACGGAGCAACGCCGCGUGAGUGAUGAAGGUCUUCGGAUCGUAAAACUCUGUUAUUAGGGAAGAACAUAUGUGUAAGUAACUGUGCACAUCUUGACGGUACCUAAUCAGAAAGCCACGGCUAACUACGUG